RNAcentral lists this long non-coding RNA (664 nucleotides) under Sander lucioperca (pikeperch). RNAcentral describes it as "lncRNA (ENSSLUG00000000568.1)". The record is from RNAcentral. Lineage: Eukaryota; Metazoa; Chordata; Actinopteri; Perciformes; Percidae.
CCACAGAGUCUCUAUCACUAAACUUAGAAGUCAUCAUUAGUAAAUGUAAUGGGAACAGGAAAAUUGUCUUCGGCAACUAUAUGACAUUUUGGAUGUACAUGAGUUUGAUGCAAAACUACUGCCAGACAACUGCACUUGAACAAUAACAAAAAUGAUACAAAUGGAACUGUGCAAUAUUCAGAUACAGAGUGUCCUCUAGAGAUAUUGCUUCAGAUGACAUAUCACGUUUUUUAAAACAUGAGUCAGUCUCCAUCCUACCAGAGAGAUUCUUCCUCUGCAUCUCCUGAGAGUCCUAAAGAAGGUGACAUCUCCCCUCGACAGCUUUAUGACAACCUGAAGAGCCUGGAGGAGCACGAGACAUGUGACGACCAGAAAGAUCCCAUUGCUAACAUCAUAACUGACAACUACUCCAGCUCUCGUUUAAACACUCCGCUAGCGGCAAAUGACCUUGGGAAGCUACGUGCUGGCAUUGUUCUACAAGAACAAGCGAUUAAGAAAAGUAAUUGCAGAGAACUGAGAUGCUUCAGUACAUCGCCUAUAAAAAAGAAGCCUCCGGUCACACCAGAGUUCAUGGAGGUGCUUGCGUUGGAUGGAAGAUUAAUUACUUUGGUGAGCUCUCAGUGCCAGACAGAUUGGGAGUGGGUGGAGCAGAGUCUCUCUUUCA